RNAcentral lists this ribosomal RNA (788 nucleotides) under uncultured bacterium. Its description in RNAcentral is "bacterial SSU rRNA". It matches the Rfam family "Bacterial small subunit ribosomal RNA", at positions 636 to 1424 of the family's 1533-position model. The record is from RNAcentral.
UNUGACUUGAGUGCAGAAGGGGAGAGUGGAAUUCCAUGUGUAGCGGUGAAAUGCGUAGAUAUAUGGAGGANCACCAGUGACGAAAGCGGCUCUCUGGUCUGUCACUGACGCUGAGGCUCGAAAGCGUGGGUAGCGAACAGGAUUAGAUACCCUGGUAGUCCACGCCGUAAACGAUGAGUGCUAGGUGUUAGGCCCUUUCCGGGGCUUAGUGCCGGAGCUAACGCAAUAAGCACUCCGCCUGGGGAGUACGACCGCAAGGUUGAAACUCAAAGGAAUUGGCGGGGGCCCGCACAAGCGGUGGAGCAUGUGGUUUAAUUCGAAGCAACGCGAAGAACCUUACCAGGUCUUGACAUCCCGAUGCUAUUCUUAGAGAUAGGAAGUUACUUCGGUACAUCGGAGACAGGUGGUGCAUGGUUGUCGUCAGCUCGUGUCGUGAGAUGUUGGGUUAAGUCCCGCAACGAGCGCAACCCUUAUUGUUAGUUGCCAUCAUUAAGUUGGGCACUCUAGCGAGACUGCCGGUAAUAAACCGGAGGAAGGUGGGGAUGACGUCAAAUCAUCAUGCCCCUUAUGACCUGGGCUACACACGUGCUACAAUGGUCGGUACAACGAGUUGCGAGCCGGUGACGGCAAGCUAAUCUCUGAAAGCCGAUCUCAGUUCGGAUUGGAGGCUGCAACUCGCCUCCAUGAAGUCGGAAUCGCUAGUAAUCGCGGAUCAGCACGCCGCGGUGAAUACGUUCCCGGGCCUUGUACACANCGCCCGUCACACCACGAGAGUUUGUAACACCCGA